ACACUUCUUGCAAGCCAUGGAUGGCGGGGUGGAUUACGCGUGCUCCAUGCUCCGACUAGGUGCAGAACACGACGGGGUGGGAAGCGCUCGGCAUCUGGGGUCCGUGGAUGAAGCAGGUGCCCUGGAUGCCACGAUGCUGGUCAUCGGGCGUAGACACAAGCAAGAGCAUGAAGUGGAAGUCCAUCUACUUGAACUCUAUCCGGUGGUACACCUGCUUCCAUGGGUUCUAAAUCCCAAAAGGUAGCGUCAUGGAGGCGUAGUUCAUUUCCACGUAAACUAGCUUCCCGUGCAUAUCUUUACAAGAAUCCAUCCACAAUGGUGGCUGCUAGUUAGCUUGCCGGAUAGUACUAAUCUAAUCUUGUUUUUCUGUGUCUAAGUAUGAUGUCUGUAGCCAUCUAAUCGUUUUUUGAUUCUUCUCAUCUAUCAAGAUUCCCCAAGGCAUCAAACUAAUCACAAAAUGUCUCUUAUGAAUACAUGAACAUUCUCUUGCAAUCCUUUUUGAGAAAAAAAUAUGCAUAACUAGUGUAAGAACUAACUUCAUGUAGAAUACUUGAGUAUGUAAAAUAUUUUUUUUACUAACGCAUAGAAAUAAAAUUAAAAAAUAUCCAUUUUUUACAUGGUAGAUAAUUUAGUGCGUGAGGUUCGCUCAAAUUUCACCUCAUCUCGACAUAUGAGUAGCUGUCAGCAAAAAAGACAAAUUGGGUCACAACAAUAAAUGAACACUAAAUAUUUUUACAAACCCCAAAUUGUCUUUUUUGUCGAGGGAUACUCACAUGUCCAAAUGAUCUGAAAUUAGGAGCACACCUCACGCACCAAACUCUUUACCAUGUAUUUUUUUGAUUUCCUAUUUUUUUCUAGUAUUUGUUUUGAAUUUGUUAUGCAUCAAAGGUGCAGAUGAGCUUGGGCACCGAAUUGUUGUUGUGUGUAAUGAUGUACUUUUUUUGACACUAUCACUCUUUUCUCUUGGUUUUUCAGAAUGAUAUACAAUAAGAAAUCUGGGAAGGUUUGGCCAUUGAUAUCAUCGAUUAACAAGAGGCUGAUGAAGCUUUAUGAUGUAAUUAGAGGUGAUUGCUAGUUGUAUUUGUUGGUUGUCGUGUCAUGUGAGAUAGUACAAUUGUACUUUUGUAUGUUGUAUGAUAAAGCUUGAAAAGAAAUCAUAUAGUG
RNAcentral lists this long non-coding RNA (1164 nucleotides) under Hordeum vulgare. RNAcentral's name for it is "long non-coding RNA (HVUL_LNC000751)". The record is from RNAcentral. Lineage: Eukaryota; Viridiplantae; Streptophyta; Magnoliopsida; Poales; Poaceae.